UCGAGAAUCAUUCACAAUGGACGAAAGUCUGAUGGUGCAACGCCGCGUGGAGGAUGAAGGCCCUCGGGUCGUAAACUCCUGUCAUCAGGGAGUAAGCUUUGGUUGUUAACAGCCUCCAAAGUUGAUAGUACCUGAAGAGGAAGGGACGGCUAACUUCGUGCCAGCAGCCGCGGUAAUACGAAGGUCCCAAGCGUUGUUCGGAAUCACUGGGCGUAAAGAGUAUGUAGGCGGUAUGGAAAGUCAGAUGUGAAAUCUUGGGGCUCAACCCCGAAACUGCAUCCGAUACUCCCAUACUAGAGUAAUGGAGGGGUGACUGGAAUUCUCGGUGUAGCAGUGAAAUGCGUAGAUAUCGAGAGGAACACUCGUGGCGAAGGCGAGUCACUGGACAUUUACUGACGCUGAGAUACGAAGGCCAGGGUAGCGAAAGGG
RNAcentral lists this ribosomal RNA (429 nucleotides) under uncultured bacterium. RNAcentral's name for it is "bacterial SSU rRNA". It matches the Rfam family "Bacterial small subunit ribosomal RNA", at positions 355 to 776 of the family's 1533-position model. The record is from RNAcentral.